UCAAUUGUAAUGAUGGAGAGGAUAAUGAGGAAAGCGGCAAAGAGAGCCGGGUAAGGUGCAAUCCGGUCCGCCUAUUCAUUAGAUGCUCGCUCCUGAACAGCUCGGGCGAAACAGCAGUAGUCCGAUGCCGCAGUAUUGCGUUAAAAUGAAGUAGUUUUCUACUUCAUAAGGCUUAUACCGCAAGGUAUGGCAAAACAGGGUGGUACCACGGGAAAAGACCCCUCGUCCCUGAG
Molecule: non-coding RNA, 233 nt
Filed under: Tepidanaerobacter syntrophicus
Lineage: Bacteria; Bacillati; Bacillota; Clostridia; Thermosediminibacterales; Tepidanaerobacteraceae
Description: T-box sequence
Rfam family: T-box leader
About the family: Uncharged tRNA acts as the effector for transcription antitermination of genes in the T-box leader family. T-boxes are found upstream of many aminoacyl-tRNA synthetase genes and some amino acid biosynthetic genes usually in Gram-positive bacteria.
Source: RNAcentral